UUUGUAGAAUGAACCGGCGAGUUACGUUAUGAUGCGAGGUUAAGUUGAAGAGACGGAGCCGUAGGGAAACCGAGUCUGAACAGGGCGAAUUAGUAUCAUGACGUAGACCCGAAACCAUGUGACCUACCCAUGAGCAGGUUGAAGGUGCGGUAAGACGCACUGGAGGACCGAACCAGGGCACGUUGAAAAGUGCUUGGAUGACUUGUGGGUAGCGGAGAAAUUCCAAACGAACUUGGAGAUAGCUGGUUCUCUCCGAAAUAGCUUUAGGGCUAGCGUCGACAUUAGAGAUUCUUGGAGGUAGAGCACUGUUUGGGUGAGGGGUCCAUCCCGGAUUACCAAUCUCAGAUAAACUCCGAAUGCCAAUGAAUUAUGGUCGGCAGUCAGACUGCGAGUGCUAAGAUCCGUAGUCGAAAGGGAAACAGCCCAGACCACCAGCUAAGGUCCCAAAAUAAUUGUUAAGUGGAAAAGGAUGUGGGGUUGCACAGACAACUAGGAUGUUAGCUUAGAAGCAGCUAUUCAUUCAAAGAGUGCGUAAUAGCUCACUAGUCGAGUGACCCUGCGCCGAAAAUGUACCGGGGCUAAAACAAUUUACCGAAGCUGUGGAUACCUUUAUAGGUAUGGUAGGAGAGCGUUCUAUGUGUGAUGAAGGUAUACCGUGAGGAGUGCUGGAACGCAUAGAAGUGAGAAUGCCGGUAUGAGUAGCGAAAGACAGGUGAGAAUCCUGUCCACCGUAAGACUAAGGUUUCCAGGGGAAGGCUCGUCCGCCCUGGGUUAGUCGGGACCUAAGGAGAGACCGAAAGGUGUAUCCGAUGGACAACAGGUUGAUAUUCCUGUACUAGAGUAUGUAGUGAUGGAGGGACGCAGUAGGCUAACUAAAGCAGACGAUUGGAAGAGUCUGUCUAAGCAGUGAGGUGUGAAUUGAGUCAAAUGCUUAAUUCUAUAACAUUGAGCUGUGAUGGGGAGCGAAGUUUAGUAGCGAAGUUAGUGACGUCACACUGCCAAGAAAAGCUUCUAGCGUUUAAACAUACUCUACCCGUACCGCAAACCGACACAGGUAGUCGAGGCGAGUAGCCUCAGGUGAGCGAGAGAACUCUCGUUAAGGAACUCGGCAAAAUGACCCCGUAACUUCGGGAGAAGGGGUGCUGACUUUAGGUCAGCCGCAGUGAAUAGGCCCAAGCAACUGUUUAUCAAAAACACAGCUCUCUGCUAAAUCGUAAGAUGAUGUAUAGGGGGUGACGCCUGCCCGGUGCUGGAAGGUUAAGAGGAGUGCUUAGCGUAAGCGAAGGUAUGAAUUGAAGCCCCAGUAAACGGCGGCCGUAACUAUAACGGUCCUAAGGUAGCGAAAUUCCUUGUCGGGUAAGUUCCGACCCGCACGAAAGGCGUAAUGAUUUGGGCACUGUCUCAACGAGAGACUCGGUGAAAUUUUAGUACCUGUGAAGAUGCAGGUUACCCGCGACAGGACGGAAAGACCCCAUGGAGCUUUACUGCAGUUUGAUAUUGAGUGUCUGUACCACAUGUACAGGAUAGGUAGGAGUCUAAGAGAUCGGGACGCCAGUUUCGAAGGAGACGCUGUUGGGAUACUACCCUUGUGUUAUGGCCACUCUAACCCAGAUAGGUGAUCCCUAUCGGAGACAGUGUCUGACGGGCAGUUUGACUGGGGCGGUCGCCUCCUAAAAGGUAACGGAGGCGCCCAAAGGUUCCCUCAGAAUGGUUGGAAAUCAUUCGCAGAGUGUAAAGGUAUAAGGGAGCUUGACUGCGAGAGCUACAACUCGAGCAGGGACGAAAGUCGGGCUUAGUGAUCCGGUGGUUCCGUAUGGAAGGGCCAUCGCUCAACGGAUAAAAGCUACCCUGGGGAUAACAGGCUUAUCUCCCCCAAGAGUUCACAUCGACGGGGAGGUUUGGCACCUCGAUGUCGGCUCGUCGCAUCCUGGGGCUGUAGUCGGUCCCAAGGGUUGGGCUGUUCGCCCAUUAAAGCGGCACGCGAGCUGGGUUCAGAACGUCGUGAGACAGUUCGGUCCCUAUCCGUCGCGGGCGUAGGAAAUUUGAGAGGAUCUGCUCCUAGUACGAGAGGACCAGAGUGGACUUACCGCUGGUGUACCAGUUGUCUUGCCAAAGGCAUCGCUGGGUAGCUAUGUAGGGAAGGGAUAAACGCUGAAAGCAUCUAAGUGUGAAACCCACCUCAAGAUGAGAUUUCCCAUGAUUAUAUAUCAGUAAGAGCCCUGAGAGAUGAUCAGGUAGAUAGGUUAGAAGUGGAAGUGUGGCGACACAUGUAGCGGACUAAUACUAAUAGCUCGAGGACUUAUCCAA
RNAcentral lists this ribosomal RNA (2307 nucleotides) under Streptococcus pneumoniae GA08825. RNAcentral's name for it is "bacterial LSU rRNA". It matches the Rfam family "Bacterial large subunit ribosomal RNA", at positions 607 to 2925 of the family's 2925-position model. The record is from RNAcentral. Lineage: Bacteria; Bacillati; Bacillota; Bacilli; Lactobacillales; Streptococcaceae.